This is a long non-coding RNA of Dicentrarchus labrax (European seabass), 212 nucleotides long. RefSeq lists it as uncharacterized. The transcript has 3 exons. The record is from RefSeq and is a predicted model, not a curated record. NCBI's taxonomy places the organism in Eukaryota, Metazoa, Chordata, Actinopteri, Moronidae.
UAUGUCAACGAGAAAGAUCAACAACUGCAUGCCAGCACCUCCAAGUGUGAUCCUUCAUCAUGGCCAGGUGAUGAAGCUGAACUGGUGGCUGCAAGUCAGGCUGUGGAAGACUUGCUCAAGACCCCUGUUCAGACUAAACUGCCUGCAUCCGCUGUCCGCUCUACUCUGCCUGCUGCUGCUGCUGUCCAGCCAACACUGCCUGCACCCGCUGU